Molecule: ribosomal RNA, 253 nt
Filed under: uncultured bacterium
Lineage: Bacteria
Description: partial 16S ribosomal RNA
Rfam family: Bacterial small subunit ribosomal RNA
Source: RNAcentral
GACGUAGGGCGCGAGCGUUGUCCGGAUUUAUUGGGCGUAAAGAGCUCGUAGGCGGCUUGUUGCGUCGACUGUGAAAACCCGCGGCUUAACUGCGGGCUUGCAGUUGAUACGGGCAGGCUAGAGUUCGGUAGGGGAGACUGGAAUUCCUGGUGUAGCGGUGAAAUGCGCAGAUAUCAGGGGGAACACCGGUGGCGAAGGCGGGUCUCUGGGCCGAUACUGACGCUGAGGAGCGAAAGCGUGGGGAGCGAACAGG